UACGUAGGGGGCUAGCGUUGUUCGGAUUUACUGGGCGUAAAGCGCACGUAGGCGGAUAUUUAAGUCAGAGGUGAAAUCCCAGGGCUCAACCCUGGAACUGCCUUUGAUACUGGAUAUCUUGAGUAUGGAAGAGGUGAGUGGAAUUCCUAGUGUAGAGGUAAAAUUCGUAGAUAUUCGGAGGAACACCAGUGGCGAAGGCGGCACACUGGGCCAUUACUGACGCUGAGGUGCGAAAGCGUGGGGAGCAAACA
This 251-nucleotide ribosomal RNA is filed under the name uncultured Bartonella sp. RNAcentral describes it as "partial 16S ribosomal RNA". It matches the Rfam family "Bacterial small subunit ribosomal RNA", at positions 524 to 774 of the family's 1533-position model. The record is from RNAcentral. Lineage: Bacteria; Pseudomonadati; Pseudomonadota; Alphaproteobacteria; Hyphomicrobiales; Bartonellaceae.